This 696-nucleotide long non-coding RNA is filed under the name Rattus norvegicus (Norway rat). RNAcentral describes it as "long non-coding RNA NONRATT015631". The record is from RNAcentral. Lineage: Eukaryota; Metazoa; Chordata; Mammalia; Rodentia; Muridae.
GUGAGGAGGAAGCAUCGGCCGCAUCCAGGCGUGUUUCACUGCUGCACCUUCUGUUCCAGUGGAGGCCAGAAGACUGCACGCUGUGCCUGCGGAGGCACCAUGCCAGGUAAGCAUGGCCGGUGUCCUCAAGCCCGCUGGCCCAAGCAGCAGCAAGCAAGGGGCCUUCCCUUCACUGCCUCACAGCGCUAGGUCAGGGGGUUCAGACUGAGGCUUUUCUUAUAGAAUCCGAGCCUCUCGUGUAGAGGCAGGACAGAUACCCUGUACAGCAAGUCUCUUGUUCUGAAUUAAAAUGACAGGCUUCAAGGUUCACCAGUCCAUGGGCCUUCUGACCAGAAUCUGGGGUUCUCAGAUUCAGUCUAUACCCAUUCUGAGUACUGAGAAAUAGAGAUCCAUAUAAAAACCGUGGGGACCAGGGGAGUAGAUGACUGAGCAGUGUCCUUUGGACCUCCGGAAAGAGUCCUCUGUUGUAGUAGUUGUGGUUGUCGUUCUAUCAUGGGGCUGGGGGAGAUCCAAUCAUGAGAGCACUGGCUGCUGUUCCAGAAGACCCAAGUUCAGUUCCCACCACUUGGGGCUCACAACUGUUGAUUACUCCAGUUAAAGGGAUUUGACGGCUCCUUUCUGAUACCAGCCUCACACAUGGUACAUAGACAUACACGCAGACCAAAUGCUCAAUACAUAUACAUAGAAUAAAAAAAA